CCUACGGGGGACAGCAGUAGGGAAUCUUCCACAAUGGGCGAAAGCCUGAUGGAGCAACGCCGCGUGGGUGAAGAAGGUCUUCGGAUCGUAAAACCCUGUUGUUAGAGAAGAAAGUGCGUGAGAGUAACUGUUCACGUUUCGACGGUAUCUAACCAGAAAGCCACGGCUAACUACGUGCCAGCAGCCGCGGUAAUACGUAGGUGGCAAGCGUUAUCCGGAUUUAUUGGGCGUAAAGGGAACGCAGGCGGUCUUUUAAGUCUGAUGUGAAAGCCUUCGGCUUAACCGGAGUAGUGCAUUGGAAACUGGGAGACGUGAGUGCAGGAGAGGAGAGUGGAACUCCAUGUGUAGCGGUGAAAUGCGUAGAUAUAUGGAAGAACACCAGUGGCGAAAGCGGCUCUCUGGUCUGUAACUGACGCUGAGGUUCGAAAGCGUGGGUAGCAAACAGGAUUAGAUACCCCUGUAGUC
RNAcentral lists this ribosomal RNA (465 nucleotides) under uncultured bacterium. RNAcentral's name for it is "partial 16S ribosomal RNA". It matches the Rfam family "Bacterial small subunit ribosomal RNA", at positions 338 to 795 of the family's 1533-position model. The record is from RNAcentral.